AGGGUUAUAAUUAGUUCAUAGUGAAAUGUAAAUCAUACUCAAUGUGCAUUGUGUGCAUUUUUAAUAUAGUUAUAAUUAGUUCAUAGUGAAAUGUAAAUGAUGAUGUUAUUGUAUAUUUCUUGCAUCACACAGAGUUAUAAUUAGUUCAUAGUGAAAUGUAAAUACUUACAAUCCCUAUGGCAAAAGAAAUAUGUAUGCUGUUAUAAUUAGUUCAUAGUGAAAUGUAAAUGUGCGUACGACGCUAAAAAUGCACUACAGGCUAUAGUUAUAAUUAGUUCAUAGUGAAAUGUAAAUACCAACCUACAACACCUGGAUUAAGGUUAAUAUUUACCGUUAUAAUUAGUUC
RNAcentral lists this small RNA (346 nucleotides) under human gut metagenome. RNAcentral describes it as "Listeria sRNA rliB". The record is from RNAcentral.